CCUACGGGAGGCAGCAGUAAGGAAUAUUGGUCAAUGGACGAAAGUCUGAACCAGCCAUGCCGCGUGAAGGAUGAAGGCCCUCUGGGUUGUAAACUUCUUUUAUCUGGGACGAAAAAGCUCAUUCUUGAGCACUUGACGGUACCAGAGGAAUAAGCACCGGCUAACUCCGUGCCAGCAGCCGCGGUAAUACGGAGGGUGCAAGCGUUAUCCGGAUUCACUGGGUUUAAAGGGUGCGUAGGUGGGUCUGUAAGUCAGUGGUGAAAUCUCCGGGCUUAACUCGGAAACUGCCAUUGAUACUAUAGGUCUUGAAUCAUCUGGAGGUAAGCGGAAUAUGUCAUGUAGCGGUGAAAUGCUUAGAUAUGACAUAGAACACCAAUUGCGAAGGCAGCUUACUACGGGUGUAUUGACACUGAGGCACGAAAGCGUGGGGAUCAAACAGGAUUAGAUACCCUGGUAGUCCACGCCCUAAACGAUGGAUACUCGACAUCAGCGAUACACUGUUGGUGUCUGAGCGAAAGCAUUAAGUAUCCCACCUGGGAAGUACGACCGCAAGGUUGAAACGUCAAAUGAAAUUGACGGCUGGAGAGNGCGAGGACGACGACGAGGGGAGGAGG
This 614-nucleotide ribosomal RNA is filed under the name uncultured bacterium. Its description in RNAcentral is "bacterial SSU rRNA". It matches the Rfam family "Bacterial small subunit ribosomal RNA", at positions 338 to 950 of the family's 1533-position model. The record is from RNAcentral.